Molecule: unclassified non-coding RNA, 424 nt
Filed under: fungal sp.
Lineage: Eukaryota; Fungi
Description: partial internal transcribed spacer region
Rfam family: Eukaryotic small subunit ribosomal RNA (bases 1-44)
Source: RNAcentral
GUCGUAACAAGGUUUCCGUAGGUGAACCUGCGGAAGGAUCAUUACCACACCUAAAGAGAAGGAGGAAGAAGACGACGACGUCUUCUCUUCCCACUCGAAAACAAACAAGAGUGGAAGCUUGUCGUGUGUUCGAGCACGGUGAGUGGAAGCUUCUUGUUGUCCCGAGAACCUGUGAAGGAGCCAAGAAUUCUGAGAUGUGAGAGCAUCUCCGCUAGUAUUGGUUGUGCCAUGUGUGAUAUCAGAGUAGUUUCGACUGCUGGGAUAUUGUACGGUACUGCAAACAAAGAAGAAGUAGAUGUAGAAGCCAGUAAAGUGGAUCUUUGUGUUGUCACUGGACCAUGUAAACUUGUAUUACAAGGAAAAAUGUCAAACAAUCACUUUCAGCAACGAAUGUCUAGGUUCCCAUAACGAUGAAGAACGCAGC